This 776-nucleotide ribosomal RNA is filed under the name uncultured Neocallimastigales. RNAcentral describes it as "partial large subunit ribosomal RNA". It matches the Rfam family "Eukaryotic large subunit ribosomal RNA", at positions 24 to 642 of the family's 3401-position model. The record is from RNAcentral. Lineage: Eukaryota; Fungi; Neocallimastigomycota; Neocallimastigomycetes; Neocallimastigales.
UAUCUCUGUAGAGUCUGCAUAUCAAUAAGCGGAGGAAAAGAAACUAACAAGGAUUCCCCUAGUAACGGCGAGUGAAGCGGGAAGAGCUCAAAUUUGAAAUCUUCAAGGUUUGACCUUGACGAAUUGUAGUUUAAAGAAGUGUUUUCGGUUAGAGGAGUAGUAAAAGUUCUUUGGAAUAGGACAUCAUAGGAGGGUGAGAAUCCCGUAUUUGACUAUUCUUUCUAGCUUUGUGAUACACUUUCAAAGAGUCGGAUUGUUUGGGAAUGCAGUCCAAAAUGGGUGGUAAAUUUCAUCUAAAGCUAAAUAUUGGCGAGAGACCGAUAGCGAACAAGUACCGUGAGGGAAAGAUGAAAAGAACUUUGAAAAGAGAGUUAAACUGUACGUGAAAUUGUCAAAAGGGAAGCGUUUGACACCAGUGUUGUUUUUCUCGAAAAUCAAUUACAAAAUGCUUGAUUUUGUGUUGUAUUGACCUUAUCAGCUUUCUUCACUUUUUUCGAGUCUUUCUUAAUGCACUUUUCGGUUAACAAGUCAACAUCAAUUUCUUCUGUUGUAAAAGAGUAUUCGGAAGGUGGCUUUCUUUUCGGAGAAAGUGUUUAUAGCCCUAUACUUCUACAAUCGGAGAGAUUGAGGUCUGCAGCGUAGAUCCUUCGGGGUUAGAUACAUUUGUGCUAAGUUGUAGCUUUUCAUAGACAACUUGUUGACUAUGUUUAGUCAUGCGGCUUACUCGCUUAUGCUAUUUUACCUACGCUUAGGAUGUUGAAGACUCUACAGAGAUA